This 997-nucleotide ribosomal RNA is filed under the name Pseudomonas sp. YSA5_1A11. RNAcentral describes it as "bacterial SSU rRNA". It matches the Rfam family "Bacterial small subunit ribosomal RNA", at positions 58 to 1089 of the family's 1533-position model. The record is from RNAcentral. Lineage: Bacteria; Pseudomonadati; Pseudomonadota; Gammaproteobacteria; Pseudomonadales; Pseudomonadaceae.
UGAGUCGAGCGGAGAGGGAGCUUGCUCUGAUUCAGCGGCGGACGGGUGAGUAAUGCCUAGGAAUCUGCCUGGUAGUGGGGGACAACGUUUCGAAAGGAACGCUAAUACCGCAUACGUCCUACGGGAGAAAGCAGGGGACCUUCGGGCCUUGCGCUAUCAGAUGAGCCUAGGUCGGAUUAGCUAGUUGGUGAGGUAAUGGCUCACCAAGGCGACGAUCCGUAACUGGUCUGAGAGGAUGAUCAGUCACACUGGAACUGAGACACGGUCCAGACUCCUACGGGAGGCAGCAGUGGGGAAUAUUGGACAAUGGGCGAAAGCCUGAUCCAGCCAUGCCGCGUGUGUGAAGAAGGUCUUCGGAUUGUAAAGCACUUUAAGUUGGGAGGAAGGGCAGUAAGCUAAUACCUUGCUGUUUUGACGUUACCGACAGAAUAAGCACCGGCUAACUCUGUGCCAGCAGCCGCGGUAAUACAGAGGGUGCAAGCGUUAAUCGGAAUUACUGGGCGUAAAGCGCGCGUAGGUGGUUCGUUAAGUUGGAUGUGAAAGCCCCGGGCUCAACCUGGGAACUGCAUCCAAAACUGGCGAGCUAGAGUACGGUAGAGGGUGGUGGAAUUUCCUGUGUAGCGGUGAAAUGCGUAGAUAUAGGAAGGAACACCAGUGGCGAAGGCGACCACCUGGACUGAUACUGACACUGAGGUGCGAAAGCGUGGGAGCAAACAGGAUUAGAUACCCUGGUAGUCCACGCCGUAAACGAUGUCACUAGCCUUGGAAUCCUUGAGAUUUUAGUGCGCAGCUAACGCAUAAGUUGACGCCUGGGGAGUACGGCCGCAAGGUAAAACUCAAAUGAAUUGACGGGGGCCCGCACAAGCGGUGGACAGUGUUUAAUUCAAGCAACGCAAAACUUACCCCUUGACUGCAAAAUUUCCAAGAUUGGGCCUUCGGGAACUCUGACCCUGCAUGGUGUCGCCUCGCGAGGAUCUCCCCCGGGGUCAGGAAUCUG